This is a long non-coding RNA of Oxyura jamaicensis (ruddy duck), 493 nucleotides long. RefSeq lists it as uncharacterized. NCBI's taxonomy places the organism in Eukaryota, Metazoa, Chordata, Aves, Anseriformes, Anatidae. The record is from RefSeq and is a predicted model, not a curated record. The transcript is spliced from 4 exons.
CCCUUACUGAGAUUAUGGGGUUCUCCUGAAACUCAUAUUUGGGGCUAAAACUUCACUUCCCAAGGCCCACCUUGGGCUGGGAGCCUCCAAUCAGCACCGAGGGAGGCUUUAAGGAGGCUGCCUGCUGGAGGUUGUUUCCCCUGGGGAGGCCCUGGGGGUGAGGUCUUCUCCAGCUCGGGGUGGCUCUGAGCGUGUCACUCCGUGCUGGGUGAGUGUGGUCCCUCCACCAGCUGUGCCCGUCCUCACGACCACCGCCGUAACCCCGCGUCCCCUCCUGUAGAGCCGGCAGGUGACAAAGCCAUGGGGGUCUCGAGGGCCCGCGGGGAGAAGGACAGCAGCAAGCGGAAGCGAAAGAGUGAGGCAGAGAAGGGGCAGGAGGUGCUGAAGGCACCCCAGGGAAAGGCUGUGAAGAAGGAGCCAGAUGAAACCCCGUGCACAGUGCAGCUCCCCGUGCUGAAAGGGAGGAAGAAAUCUGCAAAAGUCAAGGAGAAAC